Molecule: long non-coding RNA, 1252 nt
Organism: Dendroctonus ponderosae (mountain pine beetle)
Lineage: Eukaryota; Metazoa; Arthropoda; Insecta; Coleoptera; Curculionidae
Exons: 2
Source: RefSeq, a predicted model, not a curated record
CGAGAUAUGCAAGAUCUUUUUUCCAGUUCUACGGAGAGCAGGAAUUUGUUCAGAAAUCGGUUUCGGAAAAAAACCGUUAUCGAUGUAUUUAGCUGUACCUUUAGCUUUAAGUAGAAUUGGAAGUGCAUCUAGAAGAGGUUUACCUAUUCCUGCUCAUUUGCAGCUUCAGAUAGCAUUAAGGUGAAAUAAUAUGCUACUGGCAGUUUCCAUGUAGGUCAAGUGAUAAGUGCUUAAUAGAAUUACGCUUACACGAAAACAACUCUCAUUAUGUAAUAUGCUAUUAUAUUAUGAUGAAUGAUUACAGAACUGUGCGCCUUCUGUCUAGCUGAAUAUACGGUUCUCCUCUGGCGCUCCAUUUGUUUACUCCUGUUCAAAAUUACUGUUUACACUUCAACGGCCUCUUCAAAAUUCGAUUUAUCCGUCAAACUUGUCUUUAUUUAUGAUAAAUGCCAAUGAUACCAACCGGACGAUCAUAAGAAACCUAUGAUCCGUCACUUAACGGCCACUUUUCCAAGUCACUCUCGAGUUGGAACUAUAAAAUGGCUUCUAUCUCAAGUGUCAAAAGUCACUCAAGUCGUUUUCGAUAAGUGUCUCUCAAGUGCCACUUGGCACUUGGACUAUAAAUACGGCCAUCAACUCCAAGUCGCCCUUACACGUCAGCUGAUCUCGAAGUGACGACUAUAAAACGCAUUUCAUGACAUCAUUAUGACAGUCACUUGAGUGUUCAGUGUCACUUGAGAGGCGUCUAUAAAUACGGCCAUAAGUCGGACUUAAAUUUUAAGGUAUACUUAGGUAAGGACGUGCUUAGAAGAAUUUUGGUGCAAGUGGGCAUGAGUGGCGUUCUUGAAUUCGGCCCUUAGUUUUCAUUAGAUUAAUCUGUGAAAAAAUCCGUUCAACAUUGGCUGAUGAGUGAGAAAAUUUUCAUUUCUUCAACAUUUCGCAACAGACGUCAAUCUGUGUCCAGACCUUGUAAUUCACUAUCAUGACUGAGAAGCGCUGCAGAGUGACCCGUGUGAAAAGCCUCUAAAGAAAUUGGAUGUCUUGUUAUACGGAUGGAAUUUGUGUAUUUUUUUUUUAACUUUUAUCACGGUGCUUUGGAAAGUGCUGAAUUCCGCUACAAUCUCGCUGGUUGAAAUCUGUGAAUUCUAGCUUACGAUGGCCAAGAUAUUAACCUCCACAACUUUAUUUAUUAUUAUUAUAUUUUUUUCUUUUCUGGGUUUCAGUCAAAAUGUAAAAUAAAAAUGUUCAUAUA